UGAAACAAACUGAGGUCACAGGACGUAUGAGUAACUCAAAAUUAAUAUGCAGCCGCAUACGCCCGGGGUCGUAUUGGACAACAAGGCACAGAGGCGCGCGAGGGACGUCAUCAAUGCAUAAAAUUGCAGUGGGAGUAUUUAUAUGAAAAAAUUAAUAACUGAUACUGAUGCGCAGUUACAAUUCGAUAGGUGUGCCUGUCUGUUGCGCUCAUAGCGAUGACUUUGGACUCUGUGUGUUUCCCCGAACCAACUCAUCUUUUUUUAAGGACUCCACUUUGAAGUCA
Anastrepha ludens (Mexican fruit fly) is the source of this 284-nucleotide long non-coding RNA. RefSeq lists it as uncharacterized. The transcript has 3 exons. NCBI's taxonomy places the organism in Eukaryota, Metazoa, Arthropoda, Insecta, Diptera, Tephritidae. The record is from RefSeq and is a predicted model, not a curated record.